RNAcentral lists this unclassified non-coding RNA (236 nucleotides) under Necromortierella dichotoma. RNAcentral describes it as "Mortierella dichotoma partial internal transcribed spacer region". The stretch from base 1 to 46 matches the Rfam family "Eukaryotic small subunit ribosomal RNA", at positions 1786 to 1831 of the family's 1831-position model. Lineage: Eukaryota; Fungi; Mortierellomycota; Mortierellomycetes; Mortierellales; Mortierellaceae. The record is from RNAcentral.
AAGUCGUAACAAGGUUUCCGUAGGUGAACCUGCGGAAGGAUCAUUCAUAAUAAGUGUUUUUCUGGGCACUUUUUAAAAACCCAUACCCACCUUGUGUGCAAUGUUUGAUCUGUUGUUAUGUUAUGUAGCAGCAGAUUAAAAAUACCAACUUUACAUCUUUAAUAAUUUUGUCUUAAAAAAUAUUAUGAAUAACUUAAUUCAAAAUACAACUUUCAACAACGGAUCUCUUGGCUCUC